Molecule: long non-coding RNA, 327 nt
Filed under: Elaeis guineensis (African oil palm)
Lineage: Eukaryota; Viridiplantae; Streptophyta; Magnoliopsida; Arecales; Arecaceae
Description: long non-coding RNA (EGUI_LNC004216)
Source: RNAcentral
GGGUCAUGUCCCUAGCUACUAAAGUAGUCCUGGAUCAACAUGGCUAUGUUGUAAAGGAUGUGCCUAUUGUUUUCCUUUUUUUUUCUUUUUUCGGUAAAAGAGUGAGUAAGCUUAAUUCCAAAAUAAGAUUACAAUGUGUUAAUGCUCCAAGUAUCUAAAACCAACCAUUACAAAUAGGCCAUACAUAUACAGCUAGAAUCAAGAUAGGACACAUCUGUAAUUGAAAAGCAUACGGCACCCCACAUGAAGCGAUGAAAGUCCAACAAAAGGGGUAUCGACAUCAACAUCAUGAGCACCCAACAAAGCCUCAUCCUUAGGGAUGGCUAC